GUCUCUUCUUCGAUCGUUCUUCUUUCUCCUUCUCUCUUUUCUCUAAACAACUAAAACCCAAUAACUGAAUCUUCGACUAGGUUUCCAAAUUACGGAGAUCAAGAAUUCAACUGAUUGUUUUUCUCUUCUUUGAUUCGAAUCACGUUGAAACACUUGCGCUCUUAACUUUAUAUAAGGCGAUGAUGAACAUUACACGAAGAAAGAUUCUGCAGUAAUAUUGCGGCAAGUGUUAUACCCUUAGGUUGAAAACCAAGGAAGCUGACGUAUAGGAGGCUACAACGAAUUUUUGUCAAAGCUGUAACAAUACUCAUCAUUCGAGACUUCUUCUAGCUCCAACUACUACGAUAGUUGAGACAAGGUAUGUUACUCUUUUGAAUAAAAAUUAAUUCUCAAAGUCUUUUUUCACGUAUGUGUGAUAUUAGUUGGAAUAUUUUGGGACUUGCACAUGACGCAUUCUAGGGUUAUGUCUAUACUGACCAGAGUUUAUUGUGAGUUUAAUGCGCUCAAUAUUUUGUUGAACACCCAACUCAUAUAGUCCUUUACUCUAUUUGAACUCAGAAUGAUCUUCUAAUGGUAAUUAUAAAAGAAGACACAGGGUAGGUGAUUUUUCCCAUUUAUUACUUGCAUCUUGGUUUGCUUACAAAUCUUUAUUUGUUAUUACACUUAUUCUUGGAUGAUAUUAUGGAGCCGUCUUUCCAAAUAUUUUGCAGGUUUAAAGUGUAGAUGGUCAGAGCUUAACCUAUUUAGUCGUAAACACGUGUUUCAAAUGCUCUUUGAACAAUCUAUGUUCAUUCAUGUUCUUUAUAACCUUUCUGUAUGCUUGAGAAGAUAUUCAACUUUAAGUUUAUUAAAGUGAAAAAAUGUAUUUACUUGGUUUCUAGUUCAGUUAUUUAGUGGGGAAUCCUCAUCUAUAUCUUUGUAACGUGAAAAUAUUGUGAUUUAUUUAUCUACAUCAAUCAGAGAAUCCUAAAUUAACAGAAGGAAGAGAAACAUUAUUUCCUAACA
Long non-coding RNA from Papaver somniferum (opium poppy), 1005 nucleotides. RefSeq lists it as uncharacterized. The record is from RefSeq and is a predicted model, not a curated record. The transcript is spliced from 3 exons. Lineage: Eukaryota; Viridiplantae; Streptophyta; Magnoliopsida; Ranunculales; Papaveraceae.